Molecule: unclassified non-coding RNA, 234 nt
Filed under: Hevea brasiliensis (rubber tree)
Lineage: Eukaryota; Viridiplantae; Streptophyta; Magnoliopsida; Malpighiales; Euphorbiaceae
Source: RNAcentral
GUUGAAAUGAGGCAAGAUGGCCCAAAUUUCAGUCUUAGCUGUUUUAAGUCUGAAUCUCGAGUUCAAGGGGUUCGUCCAUUCACUAUAUGUCAAUUUCAUGGAUAAGGGGGAAGAUUUCCUUGUAAACGAAUCAUGAUAGCACUCCGUGGGGUCUUUGUUCACUCUUCUUACUUUCCCAACUUCUAGAAGAAAAAAUAUGAAAAGAAAUGUGAACAAAAACGAUCUUUCCAAAGU